RNAcentral lists this small RNA (753 nucleotides) under Pan troglodytes (chimpanzee). RNAcentral's name for it is "processed transcript". Lineage: Eukaryota; Metazoa; Chordata; Mammalia; Primates; Hominidae. The record is from RNAcentral.
GUCUACAGAUGGUGAGUCAACAAAAGGAAGUCAAGAACCUGAACCAGCCCACCAACAACGAUGAAAAGUCAGCAGUGUGCAACCUGGAAGAGGGUCCUCACCAGAACCUGACCAGGUUGGCACACUCAUCUCAGACUUCCAGCCUCCAGAGGCUGGUCUGCGAUUUGCUUUGGCUGACAGAAUAUGAUGAAGUGAUGUUAUAUGGGUUCCUUACUCAGCCUUUAAGUGGUCUUGCAGCUACUGCUCUCUACUCCACACUGCUACCACCAUCUGAAGAACCCUACAGUAGGAGACACUUGGCCCAGAUAAGUAAGAUCAAUUCACAUCAUGGAACCCCAGGAUUUGAACCACAGGAUAACUGCAGUCACAGGUUCACAAAGAAAAAGAGUAUGCAGUGAGAAGGACAAGUCUCAUAACCACAUGUUGUUAAUGAAGAAGCUGAGGCACCAAGCGACUUAAGGAUUUGACCAAAAUCAGACAGCAGCAGAUUCAAAGAUAAUGCCAGCUCCUCAUCUCCGUUUCUGGUGCUGUUUACACCGUGAUACUUCAACACUGAAAGAAAUACCUAUCAAUUCUCGUACAACUUUAAAGAUGCAUUCUUACUGUCUCGAGGCAUCCUCUAAUUUUGUGUUCCUAUUUGCUUCAUCUAGUUUAGGUUAUUAACUCCUAAAGGCUAGGGCAUACAUUUUGAAAUUUUUUUUCUCAGGACAUUAGGAACCUUAAUAAAUUACUUUUGAUGGUUACUUUCCACAA